UACAGAGACUGCAAGCGUUGUUCGGAAUUACUGGGCGUAAAGCGCGCGCAGGCGGCCUUUUAAGUCUGACGGUGAAAUGCCGGGGCUCAACCCCGUGCCCGCCGGAGAUACUGGGAGGCUGGAGACGAGUAGAGGCAAGCGGAAUUCCGGGUGUAGCGGUGGAAUGCGUAGAGAUCAGGCGGAACACCCGUGGCGAAGGCGGCCAGCUGGGUCGUCCCUGACGCUGAGGCGCGAAGGCGUGGGGAGCGAACGGG
Molecule: ribosomal RNA, 254 nt
Filed under: uncultured bacterium
Lineage: Bacteria
Description: partial 16S ribosomal RNA
Rfam family: Bacterial small subunit ribosomal RNA
Source: RNAcentral